RNAcentral lists this ribosomal RNA (492 nucleotides) under uncultured bacterium. Its description in RNAcentral is "partial 16S ribosomal RNA". It matches the Rfam family "Bacterial small subunit ribosomal RNA", at positions 29 to 507 of the family's 1533-position model. The record is from RNAcentral.
AGUGAACGCUGGCGGUAGGCCUAACACAUGCAAGUCGAACGGCAGCACAGUAAGAGCUUGCUCUUACGGGUGGCGAGUGGCGGACGGGUGAGGAAUACAUCGGAAUCUACUUUUUCGUGGGGGAUAACGUAGGGAAACUUACGCUAAUACCGCAUACGACCUACGGGUGAAAGCAGGGGAGCUUCGGACCUUGCGCGAUUGAAUGAGCCGAUGUCGGAUUAGCUAGUUGGCGGGGUAAAGGCCCACCAAGGCGACGAUCCGUAGCUGGUCUGAGAGGAUGAUCAGCCACACUGGAACUGAGACACGGUCCAGACUCCUACGGGAGGCAGCAGUGGGGAAUAUUGGACAAUGGGCGCAAGCCUGAUCCAGCCAUACCGCGUGGGUGAAGAAGGCCUUCGGGUUGUAAAGCCCUUUUGUUGGGAAAGAAAAGCAGCAGGUUAAUACCCCGCUGUUCUGACGGUACCCAAGGAAUAAGCACCGGCUAACUUCGUG